AGUCACUGACAUUAGACUACCCCCGUAGUCCCAGCCGUAAACUAUGCGCGUUAGGUGUACUGGUGACCACGAGUCGACCGGGGUGCCGAAGGGAAACCGUGAAACGUGCCGCCUGGGAAGUACGGUCGCAAGGCUAGAAACUUAAAGGAAUUGGCGGGGAGCACCACAACGGGUGGAGCCUGCGGUUUAAUUGGACUCAACGCCGGAAAUCUCACCGGAUAGGACAGACAUAUGAUAGUCGGGCUGAAGACUCUACUUGAUGAUCUG
Molecule: ribosomal RNA, 267 nt
Filed under: uncultured archaeon
Lineage: Archaea
Description: partial 16S ribosomal RNA
Rfam family: Archaeal small subunit ribosomal RNA
Source: RNAcentral